UCGUAGAGCUAUCGGCUCUUUCGAGGGAGAAACCCUUGCCUUUUUCGAGCACCUGUUUGUUUCCUCGGCAGGCCCGCCUGCCAAUGGGGACCUUUUUAAAACCCUUGCGAUAACCUGAACAAAAAUCGUCUGAACAAAAAAAAAAAUCUAAAUCA
Molecule: unclassified non-coding RNA, 155 nt
Filed under: soil metagenome
Description: partial internal transcribed spacer 1
Source: RNAcentral